RNAcentral lists this unclassified non-coding RNA (338 nucleotides) under soil metagenome. RNAcentral describes it as "partial contains 5.8S ribosomal RNA, internal transcribed spacer 2, and large subunit ribosomal RNA". The stretch from base 1 to 120 matches the Rfam family "5.8S ribosomal RNA", at positions 35 to 154 of the family's 154-position model. The record is from RNAcentral.
GAUGAAGAACGCAGCGAAAUGCGAUAAGUAAUGUGAAUUGCAGAAUUCAGUGAAUCAUCGAAUCUUUGAACGCACAUUGCGCCCGCCAGUAUUCUGGCGGGCAUGCCUGUCCGAGCGUCAUUUCAACCAUCAAGCCCCCGGGCUUGUGUUGGGGACCUGCGGCUGCCCGCAGGCCCUGAAAACCAGUGGCGGGCUCGCUGUCACACCGAGCGUAGUAGCAAUCACCUCGCUCAGGGCGUGCUGCGGGUUCCGGCCGUUAAACAGCCUUACAAAACCCAAGGUUGACCUCGGAUCAGGUAGGAAGACCCGCUGAACUUAAGCAUAUCAAUAAGCGGAGA